Capsicum annuum is the source of this 345-nucleotide long non-coding RNA. RefSeq lists it as uncharacterized. The transcript has 2 exons. The record is from RefSeq and is a predicted model, not a curated record. Lineage: Eukaryota; Viridiplantae; Streptophyta; Magnoliopsida; Solanales; Solanaceae.
CUUGCUUAAUUAUUGUUAAUAUUGUGUUUGUUGGCUUUAUAUACUACUUGUCGCUCAUUUACUGCUUUGAUAUUGUUGAACUGUUUUAUAAACUAUUUUCUCUCGUGUACCCCCUCUGAGUCUCUGAAAUAGGAUAGAAGGAAUGCAGCGUAUGCAUCCUAACUUUCUUUUGAGAUAGCCGGAGUGUCAAGGCACCUAGUGAAGGAUUAUAGCCACGCAUGUUAGGCGGGGUUCGAAUCGACAAUGAAGGCAGUGUUGCCCUGCUACCGACCAAGUUGUCCCUCCCCAGAUCGAGUGUUCACUCGGGUAUAAAAUGUCUCCCCCUGUUCGUGGAAAGCGUCCAAA